CGUAAACUCUGCAGACGGAGCCAGUGCGCGCGCUCUACGCUACGCCGCUGCCACAAACGGACUAAAGGACGGGGUUUUGGGGAAUUAUUUGUUGGGACAGAGGACAGAGCAGAGUAGAGGACAAAGCAGAGAGGGUCAAGAUGAGCUGUUUGUUUUUCCCGUAUCCAUGAAGACCAUGCAAGAGGUCAGUGAAGGAGCAGGCUAUGGACAUUUGAGAUGCUGGAGGCUUUUUACACCAUAUGUGGCAGCAAAUGUGGCAGAAGAUCUUCCAGAGGAAACACUUUGAUGUAAUGAACCAUUUCGUCACCAACCAAAACACCAGAGCGGAGUAAGAAUGAAGCCUUUCCUGUUGGUUCACCUGAAUUUCCCUGGAGGCUGCUGUGAUGCUGCAGGACACGGAGGAGGGACACUUUUGACUCUUCUGCUGACCCUCCCUGAUCAGUCCUCCUGUUCAACUGACCUGAGACUGACUAAGACACAAAGGGACUGAGACGAGCAGUGGAAAUGUUGCAGCAACAUCAAAUGCAACAGUUUGUUGCAUGAACAGAGUGUUUUCAGUUUGAGAGAUGAGCAAUGUCUAAAUAUGCAGGAUGUGCGUGUUACAUGUGUGUGAAUGAAACAGAACACAACUCCACGUGUGUUUUGAUGAAGAAACAUUAUAACAUAGAUCAGAAAAUAGUGUAAUAUGGGGCCUUUUAAUGGUAACAUUUUGGUCUAAGUUCACAUUUGUCCAUAAUAAGUGAAAUAUGAAAAUAUGAAUACAGUGUUUAUACAGAUCUAAACAACACGGUUAGAGUUUCUAUGCAGGAUAUGACAGGAUUUUUUUUAUAUAAUACUUGCGAUUUGAUAAUUGUAUCUUUUUAAAUUGCUAUUUGGCUCCGUUUCUUCUUACACAUUUAUGACAGACAAUAAAAACUGUGCUUUUGGA
This is a long non-coding RNA of Boleophthalmus pectinirostris (great blue-spotted mudskipper), 928 nucleotides long. RefSeq lists it as uncharacterized. The record is from RefSeq and is a predicted model, not a curated record. Lineage: Eukaryota; Metazoa; Chordata; Actinopteri; Gobiiformes; Gobiidae. The transcript has 2 exons.